UCGCCUGUUUAUCAAAAACAUAGCCUUUAGCCCUACAAGUAUUAAAGGUCCCGCCUGCCCAGUGACCAUUUAAACGGCCGCGGUAUCCUAACCGUGCAAAGGUAGCAUAAUCACUUGUCCCCUAAAUAGGGACUAGAAUGAAUGGCUAAAUGAGGACAAAACUGUCUCUUACGGACUAGCCAAUGAAAUUGAUCCUCCAGUACAAAAGCUGGAAUGAACACAUAAGACGAGAAGACCCUGUGGAGCUUCAAAACCAAAACCACUAAACAUGCUUCUUGGAUUUUUAGUUGGGGCGACUUUGGAGCAAAAAAAACCCUCCAAAACAUGAAUAUAAUUAUUUAGACUAACACACCAAAAAAAUUCUACUAGACCCAGCAGUAUUACACUACUGUCUGAUUAAUGAACCAAGUUACCCCAGGGAUAACAGCGCCAUCCUCUUCUAGAGUUCCUAUCGACAAGAGGGUUUACGACCUCGAUGUUGGAUCAGGACACCCCUAUAGUGCAGCCGCUAUAAAAGGUUCGUUUGUUCAACGAUUAAAGUCCUACGUGAUCUGAGUUCAGACCGGA
RNAcentral lists this ribosomal RNA (567 nucleotides) under Podarcis gaigeae gaigeae. RNAcentral describes it as "partial 16S ribosomal RNA". It matches the Rfam family "Bacterial large subunit ribosomal RNA", at positions 1796 to 2620 of the family's 2925-position model. The record is from RNAcentral. Lineage: Eukaryota; Metazoa; Chordata; Lepidosauria; Squamata; Lacertidae.